This 207-nucleotide ribosomal RNA is filed under the name uncultured bacterium. RNAcentral's name for it is "partial 16S ribosomal RNA". It matches the Rfam family "Bacterial small subunit ribosomal RNA", at positions 568 to 774 of the family's 1533-position model. The record is from RNAcentral.
CGUGUAGGCGGGCAAUCGAGUCAGAUGUAAAAGGCGACGGCUUAACCGUAGUAUGUCAUCUGAUACUGGUUGUCUUGAGUUCGAGAGAGGGUGGUGGAAUUCCCGGUGUAGCGGUGAAAUGCGUAGAUAUCGGGAAGAACACCAGAAGCGAAGGCGGCCACCUGGAUCGACACUGACGCUGAGACGCGAAAGCGUGGGUAGCAAACA